Molecule: ribosomal RNA, 1150 nt
Filed under: uncultured bacterium
Lineage: Bacteria
Description: bacterial SSU rRNA
Rfam family: Bacterial small subunit ribosomal RNA
Source: RNAcentral
UACAGGCUUAACACAUGCAAGUCGAGGGGAAACGACAUCGAAAGCUUGCUUUUGAUGGGCGUCGACCGGCGCACGGGUGAGUAACGCGUAUCCAACCUGCCCACCACUUGGGGAUAACCUUGCGAAAGUAAGACUAAUACCCAAUGACGUCUCUAGAAGACAUCUGAAAGAGAUUAAAGAUUUAUCGGUGAUGGAUGGGGAUGCGUCUGAUUAGCUUGUUGGCGGGGUAACGGCCCACCAAGGCGACGAUCAGUAGGGGUUCUGAGAGGAAGGUCCCCCACAUUGGAACUGAGACACGGUCCAAGCUCCUACGGGAGGCAGCAGUGAGGAAUAUUGGUCAAUGGACGAGAGUCUGAACCAGCCAAGUAGCGUGCAGGAUGACGGCCCUAUGGGUUGUAAACUGCUUUUAUAAGGGAAUAAAGUGAGUCUCAUGAGACUUUUUGCAUGUACCUUAUGAAUAAGGACCGGCUAAUUCCGUGCCAGCAGCCGCGGUAAUACGGAAGGUCCGGGCGUUAUCCGGAUUUAUUGGGUUUAAAGGGAGCGUAGGCCGGAGAUUAAGCGUGUUGUGAAAUGUAGACGCUCAACGUCUGCACUGCAGCGCGAACUGGUUUCCUUGAGUACGCACAAAGUGGGCGGAAUUCGUGGUGUAGCGGUGAAAUGCUUAGAUAUCACGAAGAACUCCGAUUGCGAAGGCAGCUCACUGGAGCGCAACUGACGCUGAAGCUCGAAAGUGCGGGUAUCGAACAGGAUUAGAUACCCUGGUAGUCCGCACGGUAAACGAUGGAUGCCCGCUGUUGGUCUGAAUAGGUCAGCGGCCAAGCGAAAGCAUUAAGCAUCCCACCUGGGGAGUACGCCGGCAACGGUGAAACUCAAAGGAAUUGACGGGGGCCCGCACAAGCGGAGGAACAUGUGGUUUAAUUCGAUGAUACGCGAGGAACCUUACCCGGGCUUGAAUUGCAGAGGAAGGACUUGGAGACAAUGACGCCCUUCGGGGCCUCUGUGAAGGUGCUGCAUGGUUGUCGUCAGCUCGUGCCGUGAGGUGUCGGCUUAAGUGCCAUAACGAGCGCAACCCCUCUCCUUAGUUGCCAUCAGGUCAAGCUGGGCACUCUGGGGACACUGCCACCGUAAGGUGUGAGGAAGGUGGGGAUGA